RNAcentral lists this unclassified non-coding RNA (3038 nucleotides) under Hevea brasiliensis (rubber tree). Lineage: Eukaryota; Viridiplantae; Streptophyta; Magnoliopsida; Malpighiales; Euphorbiaceae. The record is from RNAcentral.
AAAAUAUAUUAUUUCUCACGUAGUCAUUACCCGCGUACAAUAACGAUAUAAAACCCCACUAACCCACUAAUGUUCACGUCCAACUAAGACGAACUUCUGCAUGUUCUCUGGUGAAACACUGCCAAUUCUGCAACUGGGUCUUCCCUUUCCAUCUUUCUUGUUCUGAGAUCAGCGAUCCACAAUCAGACGGCUGAUAGCUUUCCAUUUCUUUGAUAAUGGCGAUAUGGGUUUGCUCAAAGAAAGUGUUUCUUUUGGAAAGAAAAGGUUACAUGAGAGAAAGAGAAGCAUAGGAUAGGAGGAGGGAACUGUUUGUAACGGUAAUCAGCCACAUACCAGCAUCAACUGCUCAAAUUCAAAUCUUGUGCACAUUAAAGGUAAGUUAAAGGAAUUAAAGGAAUGUUAGACCGUUGCCGUAAGAUUUUCAAUUUCUGUUUGCCUUGUUCCAAAAAGGAAUUAUUAAUUUUACCAAAGACUGCUUUCGCUUAUGAACCUUUCAGUGUUCUCAGUGAAUUAUUUGCGUUUCUGAAAACAAUAACGACCUAUGAGUAACCCCUUUUGCUUUUUGUAGCAACAAAGAUGAACACUUCUUUUUCUUUUCUUUUCUUUGAUAAUGUCUUUUUUUCUUCUCUCAGUAGUGAAUAAAAUUCUGCAAUUCAAGCCAAUUCCCGGGCCAAAGUAUCAGAUUCGACUACUCAAUUCCCACCAUUCUAUUUUAUUUCUCCAUAGAUCAAAAAGAGGCUCCACCAACAAAAUUUGUGACACUUCUAUGAUUAUCUUCUCAGAGUAGAGAGUUCAGCAAGUAGGCCUCCACUGAUAAUAAUUAAGCCUCAAAUGGAAUCUUCAUCGAAUUAUGAUGAUAGUUCUGAUCUGGGUUAUCAUCCUUCACCUUCUUCUCUGGACCAAACUGAAACUUCAGGGUUCUCAACAACCAGUGGCGAUUCUUUCUUCUUUCGCCGGAUUUAUUCAGUGACCUCGGCCGUCUCUGACCCUAUAGACGAUAGCAGCUAUUCAAGUGAACCUUCUCCUUGUCACUGGCCGGCAAACAAAUCCUCACCACAUAAUCAGCCUGUGCUUGGAAGGCUAGGUAUGAAGCAACGAAAGCAAAUUAUCGAUGAUCAUGAAUCAGUAGAUCCAGGUUAGUUUGACCCUUUUUUGGUGGCACAUGGUUCUAUAGGUAAUGAGUUUUGCUUAGCUAUAAUGAAAAAAUCUGGCAGAACUAGAGAUGAUGAAAGAAAGAUUCGCAAAGCUUUUGCUUGGUGAAGACAUGUCAGGAAGUGGCAAAGGCGUCUGCACGGCAGUCACAAUCUCAAAUUCCAUAACCAAUCUCUAUGGUAUGUAAAUUUUAAACACAACGACAGUAAACCAUGAAAAUAAAAGGUUCUUGUUUUCCCCUUCUGUUAUUGCUAAACUGUUUUACUUUCUGCAGCAACUGUGUUUGGACAGAAUUUGAGGUUAGAGCCACUGAAUCCUGAGAAAAAGGCCAUGUGGAAGAGAGAAAUGGACUGUCUUCUUUCUGUUUGUGAUUACAUUGUAGAAUUUAUCCCCAAGUCGCAGAAUCUAAAAGAUGGAACAGCUCUGGAGGUAUAGUUUUGUAAUCCGUAACCGAGAAUUCAAGAAUUUAUUAUGUUCUCUUGUUUCUAAAAUGAUUCAUUUGCUUUUAAGGUCAUGGAGAGCAGACCACGAUCAGACAUUUACAUCAACCUUCCCGCAUUAAGAAAGCUCGACUCAAUGCUCAUUGUAAGACCGUCCUUUCUUGUGCUCAGUUUUCUUUCAAAGAUCAUAGGUUACAGUAACACGCAUUGUCUUUGUUUGACAGGAAAUAUUGGAUGGUUUCCAAGAUACAGAAUUCUGGUAUGCAGAACAGGGAAGCAUGUCAUCAAAUUCAACUCUUUCAGGUUCAUUUCGCAGAGUUAUUGUUCAGCGGAAAGAGGAGAAGUGGUGGGUGCCAGUUCCAUGUGUUCCUCCUGGAGGUAUCUCUGAGAAGUCAAGGAAGCACUUGAGACACAAACGUGACUGUGCAUAUCAAAUUCACAAAGCGGCCAUGGCCAUUAAUAGUAGUAUUCUUGCUGAGAUGGAUAUUCCAGACACAUAUAUGGCAUCUCUUCCGAAGGUUAGCCCUUCCCUGCUUAAUCAAAUCAUUAGCACUUUAGUCUUUAUAUAAACAUUGCUGAUCCAGUGUUUUGACAAUUUGUCCUAAUGGAAAUUCAGAGCGGAAGAGCGAGUCUCGGGGACAUAAUUUACCGAUACAUGUGUACAACAGACAAAUUUUCCCCUGACCAUAUUCUUGACUGUCUCAGUAUAGCAUCAGAGCAUGAAGCACUUGAGCUUGCAGACCGAGUAGAAGCUUCAAUGUACACAUGGAGACGUAAAGCCUGCCUAAAUCACUCAAAAUCAUCUUGGGAGAUGGUAAAGGACCUAAUGUCUGACAUUAAUCAGACUGACAAAAAUCAUGUUUUAGCAGAAAGAGCAGACAGCUUGCUCUUCUGCUUGAAGCAGAGGUAUCCUGAACUUUCACAGACAUCCUUGGACACAUGCAAGAUACAGUACAAUCGGGAUGUGGGACAAGCAAUCUUAGAGAGCUACUCAAGAAUUUUAGAAGGCCUAGCAUUCAACAUGGUUGCUUGGAUUGAAGAUGUUCUUUUUGUAGAUAAAUCAGUAAGAAACCAAGGCCAAUAGAAACCUCAAAAAUGAGUUCAAACAUCAACAAGGGGUAUCUUAGUCCAGGAGCUCUCCUCCUACCACCAAUGAACAACUUUUGUAGAAUGCAAGUUUUAUGAGGAAAAAAAAAAACAGGUAGAUGAAUCUAGGAAAUUUUAUUUACUAGCUUCUGAAGUUAAAUCAGUAUUUGUUAUAUCUGUACGAACUAAAUUAUUAGUUCAAUCAACUGAUUUUAAGUAAGAUCUGUACAUUUUCCCCCAAGUGAAACAACCUAAAGCUUCCAAAACCAGAAAAGUUGUCCUCAACUGAGUUGAAAUCAAAUCCAGAAAGGAUCUGAGAACAAACAUAUUAAUGAAAACACAUUUUUGCUAUGCUAUUAA